This is a long non-coding RNA of Helianthus annuus (common sunflower), 9963 nucleotides long. RefSeq lists it as uncharacterized. The transcript has 2 exons. The record is from RefSeq and is a predicted model, not a curated record. NCBI's taxonomy places the organism in Eukaryota, Viridiplantae, Streptophyta, Magnoliopsida, Asterales, Asteraceae.
UCGAAAACCCACUUCCAAUAUCAACAAAAACACUCAUGGUCCCUUCUUCCCCAACACCCACACAAACCAAUCAACCAUCUUCUUAUCGGAACAACCAUACACCACCCUUUAACCACCUAACACCGCUCACCACUUCAGACGAACAAAACAAACCACCUAACACCACUCACCCUAACUAAUAUUAGUUCGUUUACACAGGCUAAAAAGUGGGUUCAAGAGCCUUAGAAACAAGGUGGUGAUGGUGGUCGAUGAUGUCCGGUUGAUAGUUCGGAGUCUUGUUUGAAGUCACCGAAGAAGUUUAUAGUAGAGGUGGAGCCGUAGCUUAUGGUAAAAGACAUAUAUUUUCCAGCACCGGUUGCCGAUUUGGAGUCGUGUUGGGAUAUUUUCCGGUGAGUGCUUGUUGUUUAGAUCUAGAUCUUUGAUUGCUUCAUGAUUCGAUCACCUCUGUCAAUUUACGGAUUGCAAUCGUAUUGGGAUAUUUUCCGGUGACCUGCAAGGUUCAUAAUCUCACUUAUAGCAGAUCUUGGUGCUUGAUCCUCAUUCUCUUCCAUUACCUCAAGCGCUACGUUAUAUGAAAAAAAUGUCAUCAACGUUGAUAUUGUCUCGGUUCCAUACAUUUCUUAACACGAUAUAAUUAUUAAGAUCUCUUUGUUUUUAGGUUCAUCUUGAACCAUCAUGUGUAAUGUCUCUUCUAAAAACUCAUUUAAUUAUAUACUCUUACUUCUAUGUGACCUUCAUCAUUAUAUGUUCCCUUUUUUCUUCAAGUAUUCUAAAGCCAAUUGGUCUACCGCAUUCUACGCGUGCAUUAGACUGAUUACUUUAGUGUCCUAUCAUAUCAAGAUCAUGAACCGAAUGCUUGCACGGAAAUGAUAGAGGCACUAGGAUUAAACCUUUGUUUUCAAGCCUUUUUGUUUUUUGUUAUUUUAUCCACUACCUUAACAUGAUCCUUUAGUAGCCACCAUUGAGCCUUUACCAAAUCAUUUGUUAAAACCCACUUACACUACCCGUUUAGCCUUAAGCCUUUCCUAUUUUAAAACCUUGUGUGGUGAAAUCCGGGUAAAAUUAGGUCUAGAAGUUUAGUUAAAGAUAUGAAGAAAAAAAGAGAAAGAUAUUAGGUAAAAAUGUCUGAAACGAACCAAAAAAAAAAAAAAAAACUAGCAAAAGCAAAGAAAAGAGUAGCGUUAUGUGCAUGGGUCACAUUGAUCCAAAGUUUAGCGCCCGUGUGCUUAGAUUGUUUAUAUAGCCUAACUACUUGGAUAUUCACCACUUUAGCCAUUUUUGUCUAUAUUACUUUACCAUAUCCUUAACCUUAGCCAAAUUACAACCCAAUAAGUUCUCUUGAUCCGCAUAUUGUGUUUGUGUUAUUUGGUGGCGAUUUGAUUGCUAUAAAAGCUUAUGGUAAUGAUAUGCAUAUUGGUUUUGAGCAUUAACAUAUAUACUAAUACAUCUUAACUAGUCCGUAAAUAUACCAAGAGGUGUGAUUAAUUGUGGUGUGAUUAAUUGUGAGGAGUGUGGAUGCAUGUAGACUAGAGACCUGAAGUAUGUUAGGCUUGGUCAGGCUGUGUCUUGUUUAUAUCAAUAUAAAUUGCUUGUUGGAUUAUAAAUAUGUAUGUCUUAAGAAUUAGGCAUGACUUUGGACCUUAACUCAAAUAUGGUAAAGAGACGUUUUGAUGCGUUUGUCUAAUUAUUGUCAUAGUGUUACAAGAGAGUUUGCUUGUGGGCAAGUAUAACAUAAGUAUGGGGAUGCUGAUGAGUUAUGAUUGGAUGGUCUAAUUUGUCAUGGUUUUAUAUGUUUUUACUAGGAAUUAUGCUUGGAUAUGGUUGCUUUGUCUAUUUUAUAAUUGCGCAGGUUUGUAGUUAAGAUAUCACGAGUGGUGGAAGCUUUACGUUUGCACGAGGAUAGAAACAAGACAAGAAAGAAUAUGGACGUAGCCAUACUUCCAUGGGUGUAUCCCUACUCUCACUCUAUAUUGAUUUCUGGGCGUAUUCCAGCUGAAAACAUAGUUUCUGAAUGCAGCCAGAGUAUCAGUACACCUACCAGAGUACCAAUACGCCGAACCUGCAGUUACCAACGGUUUUAGGCAAUUCCAGGACAAGUUAUAAUGCCAAAAACGUGAAAAUACAUCACGCAACAUCUAGGGGAGCAAAGGAAUGAAGAGGAUGCUUAGGAACUUUAGUGACAAAGUAUCCUUUCAUCCGGUUAAUACUUUUCGCUUCCCGAAUUCACACUCCAUCAUCAAUUCCCAUCAUCAUGAUUAGUUAGAUCUUCCAUGGUUGCAUCCUUGGCAUAACUGGGAGCCAAAUGGCCUUGUGAGAUGGUCGGACACACUACACCACCCUCUCAAUCUUCCACACCCCUUGGCAGCCUUUGGGUGCCCGCCCCGAUCAUCACAAGCAUCUUCCUCUCUCUAUUACUCUCUUUUCUCUUUCGUUUAAUUUUAACUAGUCAUAAGCCCUCUGCAUUGCAGUGCGGGGGCAUAAAACCAUGAUACCUACGUUGUAGGGCGGAGGGUCAUAACCAUGCUAAGUAGCAAUCGAACAAAGCCAAGACCUGGAAAAAGCGUAAAAUAAAUACAUGAAUUUUCAACACCAAGUCGAGGGGGUAGAAAAACCCGAGAAACCAAAUGUGACUACCAAAUACCAUGCUAAAGUAGCAACCGAACGGCAAAAAAACCAUGAGGGGUCAAAUGUGACCGUCAAACACUAUGCAAAGUAACAACUAAACAACGAUCAAAUCUAGAGAAAAGCAUAAAACAAAAACUAAUAAAAAAACUAAACUCAUUAAUCUUUUGUGACAAAAUUAAAAAAAAAAAAACUAUACAAAAUGGAAAAUCUUAAAAAUUACCAUGCAAAAAAAAAAAAAACUCACAAAAAAGACAAAAUAAACUUCACUAUUCCUUCAUUUGUCAUGAAUUAAUUAGGGUAAAUUACUUUUUGAGUCCCUGUGUUAUGAAGUUUUAACCACUUGAGUUCAAAAUCAGAAUGUUUAAUGCCGUGUGUCCCUAUAGCCACAUCUUUUUAACCAUUUGAGUCCAAAUUUCUAACACUGUUAGAAUUUUUUGAAUAAGUAUUGUUAAAUGAACAAAAUACCCUUAUAGUUAAAAAAUAAAAAAAAUAAAUUAUUAUCAGCAAACAGUGAGAUCAAACAUUCAAACACACUAAAAACUAACAAACGCAUCAAUAGCCGAAUACUGCACCUGAACCGAAGUAAGACACUUGUUAUCCUAGCCACUCAUUGUAACCCCCUUCACAAACACUCCAGUGGUUUCCGACGCACAGUUGGAGGGUGGCGACAGGGUUUUGGAGGUUUGGGGUUUGGUUGGGACGCCACUCGACGUCGAGGCCCACGAUGAGGGAGUGGAGAUGGGGGCGAUAGGUGUGCUAGAUUGUGGAGAUCCAUGUGUCCACGUAGGAUGGUGUGUCGGUGACUAGGGUUUCGAUGGUGUUGUUGAAGAAUGUGAGGCGGUAGACGUUGUGGGUGUUGUUGGGGUGGUUGUGAAUGAACUGUCUGAUCGACGUCACCAUUGUGGUGGUUUUUGUGGAGGCGAGUGGUGGUGGGUGUUAAAAGGGUUUUGAAGAAUGGAAUAUGAGAGGACCAAAUUUUGUACAAAUCCAAUAUAUUAAAUUAAAAAGCCAAAUAAGCGUCAACAAAUUUUGUACAAAUCCAAUAUAUUAAAUUAAAAAAUGUUGGAGGUUUGUGGUUGUGGUUGAUAACGAAGGUGGUUGUGGCUAUGGUGGUGACAGUGGUGGGGGAUGCAGGUGGUCUAGAGAGAAAAAGAAAGAUGAGAGAGAGAUAAAGGGUGUUGAUUUAGAGAGAAAGAGAAAGAGAUGAGAGAAAGAUAUAUAAGAGAGAGAAAUCUAAUAAUAAUUUAUUUUUAUUUUUUUUAAUUAUAAGGGUAUUUUGGUCAUUUAACAAUACUUAACCAAAAAAUUCUAACAGUGUUAGAAAUUUGAACUCAAAUGGUUAAGAAAAGUGACUAUAGGGACUUAGGGCGUUAAAUAUUUUGAUUUUGGACUCAAAUGGUUAAAACUUAAAACACAUAGACUCAAAAAGUAAUUUACCCAAUUAAUUAAUAUAUGGAUAAUUAUUUGAAAUGUUUAUAAUAAUAUAAAAACAGGAUGUGGAGUCAAGAAGGAGUAUAAUAUAAGUUUUAGGAUGAAGGUCAGAAAUGUGAGAAGAUAAAUAUUAGGGCUGGCAAUUGGGUACCUGUUAAGAUAUGAUUAGACCUGUUUAACUGAAAAAUACAUCCUUUGACUUUUUUAAUUUUUAAAAUAAUUAAAAUUACAAUGUUAGGAUCUAUCAUUUAUUCAUUUUUGUACAUAAAAUAUAAAACUGUUUUAUAAACAUGAGGUAGAAAGUAGUUAAACGAGUCGUAAUCAUGUUUGAAACUUAUGUUGUGCGCACCGUCAGAAACCUGUUAAACCUGUUAAGACAUGAUUUGCCAUCCUUAGAAGAUAUUGAUGUUACACUAGGAAGAGGUAGGCCUAAUACUAAAACGUAAUGAUGCUUUAAAGUUAUCGUUAAAUAUAACAAAUUUAAAUAUGUUUCUACUCUUGAAUGUAAACCCACAUUCUUUUUGCUUUUAACAUUAAGAAAUAUAAAGCUAAUGAUCUCUAGAUCUAGUGGUGGAGAACUUGCAUUUCUUUUGACAGGGCCGGCCUUGGGCAUAUGCGAGAGGUGCUACCGCACAGAGCCCAAAUAUAUUAGGGGCCUAAAAUUGUUUAAAAAUAUGUUUAUAUUUUAUAUAUAAAUUUAUAGUAGAAAAAUAUUAAACAAAAUGAUUCUUUGACCCACUGGAUUCCUCGCUUGAUGUUGUUACUACAGGUCUCCUGAUCGAUUCUCAUUAAUUGCAGUUUGGAUUUUUUUUUUCUUUUUUGGGGUUUCCUUCAUGUAUUGUUUGGGCCUAAGUGGCUGAUUCAGCUUACUCAUUUUUACACAUUUUCUUGUUUAAGUUUCUAAGUCUUUUUUUUUUCAAUUAUUAUUUCUCAUUUAACUAUUUAUAGUUUAAAGUAUUAGAAUCCAAUUUUUAGUUUUAUUUUUUUUAUUUGCAUAUGAAAAGAUUUGUGUCACCAAACUAACUUGGAUAUGUUAACACAUUAAAGUUAUUUUUGCUGAAAGGAUUUAAAUGUUAGUUAUUUUUGUUUGUGUAGAGGGUGUUGAAAUUGUUACACAAAAACUUGAAUUUAUUGUUUUUUAAUUCAUGCUAAUUUGAGUUAUGUAUUGACUCUUUGAACAUGGAUAAUUGUGUUAACUGAUAAGCUUUCUUAACAAUUUUGAAACUAGCUGUGCUUAACUUCAUACGGAUUUUUUGGAUAAUACUCGAAACCUAUAUUUUGAUUAAAGCAUGUGAUGUGUAUAUUAAAAUUUUGGUUGUUGAUCAUGGAAUUUGAGAUAUAGAAAAUGUGGUUGGAUCCUGACAACUAAUCCAUUGGUCAAAUACAAAUGGAGAACCUCAUGAUUCGUUUAACUAUUUAACACAGAUCAUUUUGCUACAUUAGCUUAUUAUUAUUAUUAUUAUUAUUAUUAUUUGUUUAUAUUCAGGGGCCCAAUUUUUUCUAAUCGCACGGGGCCCAAAAAUUAUUAAGGAUUUUCGGAGACGGCCCUGUCUCUUGAGAGAUGCAAGUUCGACUCCUACUUGGUGCAGAGUGAGGCACUGGUGGGCAGUGAUAGGAGACGCAGGAAAACUGGGUUGGAUUCUUGAGCCAACGGAUUUUACCGGUAAUUUUACUGUCGUGUCUACGGGCGGGUGGGUUACCGGGUUUUCCCCGGAAUUGGUGGUGGACUCGAGUUACUCUCGGAGUACUCCGUUUGUCCAGUGGGUGUCCCGAGUGUGCUCGGGAUUGAGUUUGUCGGCCGUUAAAAAAAAACAUUAAGAAAUAUAGAAAAAGAAAAAAAAACAAGGAAAAAAUAAAAGAAAAAUAUUUGAUCAAUUUUGACCAACAUGUAUAUGAGGCAAUAUCUCAAGACCCUGAGUUGCUUCUUCAAUCGCCUCCUUGGAGUACACAAGUUUAAGAAAACCAUCAUGCAUUAAUUAUUAAUUAUUAUUAAAAAAAAGUAAGAAUACUCUAAACGUAAAAUCCACGAAUAAUCUAAUAUUUUUACAAUGCAGCUAUGACAAGUUGUAUUCAUUUGGAUAAUUAUCUUUACAUUUUUAUUUAUUUUUGCAUGUUUCACACGUUGAAUACUAGGAGUUAUAUUAUUUUGAUUGUUAUUGGAAUCAACAAGUUGUAUUCAUAUGGAUAAUUAUCUUUACAUUUUUAUUUAUUUUUGUUUGUUUCACACAUUGAAUACUAAGAGUUGUAUUAUUUUGAUUGUUAUUAGAGCUAGGUCUGUAAACGAAUCGAACGUUUACGAACUGUUCCUGAACUUGUUCGGCGGAAAGUUCAUUUAUGUUCGUUUAUUAAUAAACGAACGAACACGAACAAAAAUUUGUGUUCGUUUAAUUAAAUGAACGAACAUGAACACACCUUGUGUUCGUUCGUUUAUGUUCGUUUAUUUACGUUCGUUUAUGUUCGCUUAAAUUUUAGUAAAUACAUAAAUAGUUAUAUUUAUAUAAAUAUUAGGUUUUCUAACUAAUUAUAUAAAUAUAACUAACUAGUAAUUGAGUUUUCUAGUAAUAAAAAAUGAAAUUUUAAAAUUUUUCUUAUAGCGUAACUGAUCACUUAAUAUUUAUAUAAAAACUACGUAAUUUCAGUAUCUAUGAACCCUAAUUUAAAUGUGUUUUCGGAUGAACUGUAAUAUAUUAGACUUGUUUGUGUUAACUAAUGUUAAAUUAUGUUUGUUUAUAUUUGUUCAAUUUAGUUCAUUUAUGUCCGUCUAUGUUUGUUCAAUCGUGUUAAUUUAUGUUUAUUCAAAUAUGUUCGGUUAACUUUUUUGUUUAUGUUCGUAUAUGUUCGUUUAUGUUUGUGAACUGUUCAUUUCGGCUUUAAACGAACGAACAUAAACGAAUACGAACAUGCCUGAUUUCUUAAUGAACGAACAUGAACAAAAAAAAUGUGUUCGAUUAUAUGUUCAUGUUCGUGUUCGGUUAAAGUUAAAUGAACGAAUACAAACAUGCCUAUGUUCGUGUUCAAUCGGUUCAUUUAUAGGCCUAAUUAGAGCAUAGUGUAGAUGAUUAUUAGUUUUGAAAAUAUAGUAGAACUUGAUAUAUUGUAACCAUUUACAAUUUGAUUAUCUAUGUAUUAUGAUUCAUUUAAUAUUUGUAAUAACGACGUCCAUUAGCGCAAUAUAGCUAAACCCAGUUAAAACGUUAAUUUUUAUAAUAAAAAAUAACAAGAAAAUACUUCUUGUUAUGAAUGUAGACAUUCAGCCCCAUAGGCCAAGCCUGACCUAAUGUUAAUGGGCUUUAGGGUUGUUGUUGUAUUGAUCUAUAUAUAUGAUAUAUGUACAUGAAAUACUGCAGAAUAAAAUCUCUUUCUUAUGUUUGCUCUCUUGUUUAUAACAUGUUAUCAACACGAUUGCUCUCUUACAUCAGUUUUUUUUAUCUCAUUCUUUUUCACAAAAUUAUCAUGGGAGAUCCUUGACAAUCUUUCGAAGAUCCUUUUUGGUUAUUGCUAGCAUUGUGAAAAAUCAAGCGAGGACCGUAGAUAAAAACCGAAGGAGAGUUACUAGGAUAGGUGAUGGUUGUAAUGGCUACGUUGCAGUCACAACUCACAAUCUCCAAAAACUAUGGCAUUUGCCCACUGUGAUAGACACCGAAUUCUUCCGUUUUUCCUUUUUAGUCGACAACCAGGUAACAACUAAUUCCCUUUUAAUAAUAUAUAUUCUGAUCAUAGCACAAGCUAGGUAGUAGCUAAGUUUUAAAUGAAAAUAUAAUGCUGGGUUUCUGACCGUAAAUUUAAAUGGUGGUCGGAGAUCUGUUAUAGAUCUCGAUUAAAACCUACUCAAUCAAUUGGUAUGUUACCUUCCAUUGUGAAUUCGAUCAUGUGAUGCAACAUCCAAAAUUUUUUUAUGGUAACACGGUCGGUUGUUCCUGAGGGCUUAAGAAAAUGGAGUGGCCUGUAACCGUAACAGCCGGCAAGAUUUUCGUCUUUUAUUGAUUUUCCUUCGAACGGUUUUUCCUUAAUUUUUCCCUGAUGAUAAUGGAAAAAAAAUCAAAUAACCGUUGGCGCAACUUUUUAGCAACCGAGAUUAUUAAUUUAAACUUAAUACAUUAUAUUUUUUUUCAUUACAUGAGUCAUGCAUUAACAUGGGGAAUUGAAUAAAUUAAUGCUCUCACGUAACUUAACUAAAAAUGAUAUAAAACCCAAUGAUAUUCAUGACGGUUUUUUUUACAAACGUUACUUUCUGUUGGUUGGAUUUGAUGAGACCAACAAUGUAACUAUACACAAUUAAUUAAUUAAUUAAUCAAUUAAAUGACACCUUCAUUAAUAAGUUAAUUUUAUAAAACAAUGUAACUAUACACAAUUAAUUAAUUAAUUAAUCCAUUUUAAUAAAGGUAGUUGACCCAAAACCGAUAACACACCAGCCCGUUAUAACAACCAAGUCUGCCUUUCCUGCAUCACCUAACUUGGUUAAUAUAUAACGAGAAUACCUAUUCAACGAGUUAAUCCAAUACCACUACAAAUGUUGAUAAUCACUAAAAUUACCAACACUUUCUUCAAUCCUCGGAAAUUCAAUUGUUUUUUAUCUUGACAUGACAAGCAAAUUAAUAUGAGCUUAAUCUCUUUAACACUCACACACACAUAUAUGUAUACGUAUAUUGUCCUAGGAUUGUGUGAUUUAUAUAUGUAAUUGAUAUGCAUAUAAAUUGUGAAUAAUUAACAUGCAUAUAACUUGCUUAUGGGUAGAUAUUACGGAUUUCAUUUGUUUAGCAAUACUUCUGUUGGUCUCAUUGUUUUAGAUAGCAUAUAUGUUAUAUGUAUUGCCUUUUGACAAGUUAAAUGUGCUAAACAAAUUAAUACAAAUUUCAUUGGUAGCUGGUUACCAAACAACUACUCUGAGAUAAACAUUGUUAUGCUUUAGUGAUUUGAUAUUUCAGCUUGUUACAAUGCUAUGCAUAGUCAACAUAAUUAAUUGUAUGGUUAUUCUUCUAAUUGCUUGUUGUUGCUAAACAAAUAUUAAUAGACAUUGAUAUAGUCAUUAGAAAUGUGCCAUCACAUGAAAAUGAUGAAAAAUAGCUAUGAAAAUAAUUAGUGGACUUUAGCUUAAGUAAACUACUCUGAUGUUAGUUACUUAAAUUGAUAGAUAAUAAUUCAUUUGAGUUAGUGUUGAUGCUCAUUUAUACUGAAUUUCACAUGAAUCCUAAAUCAAUGUUGAGAACCCGAAGUUCUCCCAAAUGUAUACAAAGUCCCGUUUGUUUUAAUAAUGAUUUUUCAAGUUCAACCCAAACUUUAGUUCAUUGCACUUGGCGUUUUUUACUAACAUAUAGCCUAGUGAUGGAAAACCUUAUGAAUAGGACAUGUUUUCCCUCUAAACAAAGGCUAAAACUAUAACAUGUCUCCUCCAUGACGUAUUCUAGACGUGUGAAGAUACCCGAUCGACAUGUUUGACCACCAGAAGUUAGUCAUCUUUUGAAAAGCUUGCUAUAAAUCUUCUCGAAAUGCUCCUGAUGCAGCAAUACCGAGAAUGGGAUUUCACAAAACGCUCGGAUGUAAAUGUUUUAAUUUGUUAAUGUCACCAGAGGAGCAAAGGAUUAUCGGCCGCAGUAUAGGCCUUACGUGUGGAUGAUCAUGAAAAAAAAAACUGACAUCUAUGGCCCAAACAUAUGCAAAUCUAGAAGCUCCAAUAGAGCGAUCACAAAUUGAGGUGGCAAAUGUCUGAUACACAUCACAACUAACACUGUCACAAACAUAAGUAAUAUAAUUUUUAGUUAUCUUGGUAGAGACGAUAUUGAUACUAUUUCACGUGUUAAUAACAUAUUAAAUGCUCCAGAAGAGCAUCGAUAGUUUACCCGCUGAUAUCGAAUUUUGUAAUUCAUAAUGCAUCAUAUUCUAAUGUAUACCGAAGAAAUUUAUUAAGUU